RNAcentral lists this ribosomal RNA (490 nucleotides) under uncultured bacterium. RNAcentral describes it as "partial 16S ribosomal RNA". The record is from RNAcentral.
CACGUAGUUAGCCGGAGCUUAUUCUACAGGUACUGUCCUUUUUCUUCCCUGUCUAAAGCAGUUUACAAUCCGAAAACCUUCUUCCUGCACGCGACGUCACUGCGUCAGAGUUUCCUCCAUUGCGCAAUAUUCCCGACUGCUGCCUCCCGUAGGAGUCUGGGCCGUAUCUCAGUCCCAAUGUGGCCGUUCAACCUCUCAGUCCGGCUACUGAUCGUUGACUUGGUAGGCCUUUACCCCACCAACUAUCUAAUCAGACGCAAGCCCAUCUAUCAGCGGAUUUCUCCUUUCCCUAUUGUACCAUGUGGUACUUAGGCAUAUGCGGUAUUAGCAGUCAUUUCUAACUGUUGUUCCCCUCUGAUAGGCAGGUUGCUUACGUGUUACUCACCAGUCCGCCACUAACCGCUCCAAUAGUAAACUAUGGUUAAGUCCGUUCGACUUGCAUGUCUUAUGUGCGCCGCCAGUCGUUUAUCCUGAGCCAGGAUCAAACUCU